GCAGGUGUUGAUUAUAAUUUGUGUUUUUGUUGUAAUUCACUCAAAAUCCUUAUGUUUUUCUUUGGGUAAUUAAUGUGUGUGUAUAUAUAUAUGUGUGAGAAAAGGAAAAAAAGUAUUUUAUUUCUUUAUGAGUUCCGUGCGCGCGUCACUGGCGCGUUGCGCGCUCUUGCUUCAGUCCGCGGGAGGUCUGAGCAGAGCGAGGUAUGCAUUUUGUUCAAUCUUGAUCAAAAACGUGUUAAAAGGGAAACAAUCUCUAAUUAAUUGAUCUGUGUUUUCUUAAAAUGUGAAAAUGAGUUACCUGAAUGCGUUGCCUUUUCUUAGGACCGAGUUUAAAGUCGUUUUACCUGCAAAAGUGUAGUUUUAAUCGAGGGAAUGUAGUGUGACGUCGUUAGCGUGAAAGUUAGCCUGUGAAGGGUGACUGCUGAUUUCUCUUCUUUGUGUGAAUGUUUAGCAGGAGCAGGCAAGAUUGUACAACGAAUAAUUAACUGCAUGUUCUCUACUUAUGCAGAUAAAAGAAAGUCUAUCGAACCAGCAGACUGACUCCAGUGUUUAUUUCACACUACACAACACAACGCAGAGGGGUAGCCAGGCCGUGAGAGUCGAGCCGGCUACACUUGUGUACAAAUGAUUGUUUCUUUUCUAUGUGGUUUCCUCAAAAAAAAGUGUUCAUGAGAUGGAUUGCCUGAGGGAAGAAACUGUUCCUGUGCCUGGCCGUUCUGGUGCUCAGAGCUCUGUAGCGUCGACCAGGCGGCAGCAGUUCAAAGAGGGAGUGUGCUGGGUGUGA
Long non-coding RNA from Onychostoma macrolepis, 784 nucleotides. RefSeq lists it as uncharacterized. NCBI's taxonomy places the organism in Eukaryota, Metazoa, Chordata, Actinopteri, Cypriniformes, Cyprinidae. The record is from RefSeq and is a predicted model, not a curated record. The transcript has 3 exons.